GUCGCCAUCGUAUAACGGUAGUACGAGAGUCUCAUGAGCUUUAGACCCGGGUUCAACUCCCGGUGGCGACA
Molecule: transfer RNA, 71 nt
Filed under: Candidatus Woesearchaeota archaeon
Lineage: Archaea; Nanobdellati; Candidatus Woesearchaeota
Description: tRNA-Met
Rfam family: tRNA
About the family: Transfer RNA (tRNA) molecules are approximately 80 nucleotides in length.
Source: RNAcentral